RNAcentral lists this ribosomal RNA (406 nucleotides) under uncultured bacterium. RNAcentral describes it as "partial 16S ribosomal RNA". It matches the Rfam family "Bacterial small subunit ribosomal RNA", at positions 29 to 526 of the family's 1533-position model. The record is from RNAcentral.
AUUGAACGCUGGCGGCAGGCCUAACACAUGCAAGUCGAGCGAGCGGCGGACGGGUGAGUAAUGUCUGGGAAACUGCCUGAUGGAGGGGGAGAACUACUGGAAACGGUAGCUAAUACCGCAUACCAUCAGAUGUGCCCAGAUGGGGUGAGCUAGUGGGUGGGGUAACGGCUCACCUAGGCGACGAUCCCUAGCUGGUCUGAGAGGCUGUCCAGCCAAACUGGAACGGGGCCACGGUCCAGACUCCUACGGGAGGCAGCAGUGGGGAAUAUUGCACAAUGGGCGAAAGCCUGAUGCAGCCAUGCCGCGGGGUUGAAGAAGGCCUUCGGGUUGUAAAGCACUUUCAGCGGGGAGGCGUUACCCGCAGAAGAAGCACCGGCUAACUCCGUGCCAGCAGCCGCGGUAAUAC